UACGUAGGGCGCAAGCGUUAUCCGGAAUUAUUGGGCGUAAAGAGCUCGUAGGCGGUUUGUCGCGUCUGCCGUGAAAGCCCGGGGCUCAACCCCGGGAGGCGGGCGGAUACUGUCGGGCUAGAGUCCGGAAGAGGCGAGUGGAAUUCCUGGUGUAGCGGUGAAAUGCGCAGAUAUCAGGAGGAACACCGAUGGCGAAGGCAGCUCGCUGGGACGGUACUGACGCUGAGGCGCGAAAGCGUGGGGAGCAAACAGG
This 253-nucleotide ribosomal RNA is filed under the name uncultured bacterium. RNAcentral describes it as "partial 16S ribosomal RNA". It matches the Rfam family "Bacterial small subunit ribosomal RNA", at positions 524 to 776 of the family's 1533-position model. The record is from RNAcentral.